Molecule: long non-coding RNA, 654 nt
Filed under: Elaeis guineensis (African oil palm)
Lineage: Eukaryota; Viridiplantae; Streptophyta; Magnoliopsida; Arecales; Arecaceae
Description: long non-coding RNA (EGUI_LNC031909)
Source: RNAcentral
UUUUCAGAAAAGCAGGAGGGGCGUGCAUGGGUACCAUCAUCAAACCCACCGGGCACCUCCCAAAACAUUCUUUCGCCCCCCCUAAUUCCCUUCCUGGCCCUCAUAAAUCCUGCCCAUGCUCCGGGUUUCUUUUGCUCCUUUUCCCAUGCCAGGUUUAGUUUAUGUUUUCUGUGAUAUAACAUGCGGAAUAACCAGUACGUGACCGGAUAUUUUAUUGACCGUUUGAAUAAUAUUGCAGAGAAGAAUGAUGGGUUUGUAGUUUAAACAUGGAAGGCCGCCCAAUGACCAUCUUGACUACCGUGCCAUUUUGUGGUGCGUCUCUAAUUUGUCCUCCAAUUCCAAAGGAGCUUCACCUGGCGUCAGAACUCCUGUCUUUUAGCCAACCAACGACCAUUUCGAAGUCAUCAUGCUGCUGCACCUCCUUCAGCUCAAGAGAUCUACAAGGUGGAUAUUAAGUUCGAAUUGUGACAAAAAAAGUGGAGGAUAGAGAUUUGAACUUAAUUAGCCAUGUUGAUAUGUAAUUUAUGGUUUGAUGGCUGUGAUAGGUUUGCUGUGGUAGCUAGCUAGAGACAUUAUUAUAUAUAAGCUUUAUAUGAUAUCUAAAUUGGCUUUCUAAAAUUGUCCUCUAUGUAUCUUUUAAGAAGGACUCCAGGA